Molecule: long non-coding RNA, 260 nt
Organism: Asterias rubens (European starfish)
Lineage: Eukaryota; Metazoa; Echinodermata; Asteroidea; Forcipulatida; Asteriidae
Exons: 3
Source: RefSeq, a predicted model, not a curated record
UUCACUUUUUUUACAACCAUAAAGCAUAGGCCUUGUGUUAAACAAUACAACUGGGUGACGAAGCCGUUGAGGAACACUUCGACUAUAGCUGCACCUCGGGGACAGUACCGUUACAACAUUAAGGAACUGACACAAGGCCGGUGAAGACCAUGGGGCAGAUGGAAUACUGGAAUGGCAUUUACAGAUAGAUAGUGGGGGAAUUUCGACCACAACAAUCUGAUCAAGAACUCAGGCUGAGGUUACAGUGCUUACACACACUU